UACGUAGGGUGCGAGCGUUGUCCGGAAUUAUUGGGCGUAAAGGGCUCGUAGGCGGUUUGUCGCGUCGGGAGUGAAAACCAUGGGCUUAACUCAUGGCUUGCUUUCGAUACGGGCAGACUAGAGGUAUGCAGGGGAGAACGGAAUUCCUGGUGUAGCGGUGAAAUGCGCAGAUAUCAGGAGGAACACCGGUGGCGAAGGCGGUUCUCUGGGCAUGAUCUGACGCUGAGGAGCGAAAGUGUGGGGAGCGAACAGGAUUAGAUACCCCCGUAGUCC
Molecule: ribosomal RNA, 273 nt
Filed under: uncultured bacterium
Lineage: Bacteria
Description: partial 16S ribosomal RNA
Rfam family: Bacterial small subunit ribosomal RNA
Source: RNAcentral